CUACGGGUGGCAGCAGUGAGGAAUAUUGCACAAUGGGGGGAACCCUGAUGCAGCAACGCCGCGUGGAGGAUGACGCAUUUCGGUGUGUAAACUCCUUUUAUAUGUCAAGAAAAUGACGGUAGCAUAUGAAUAAGCACCCGCUAACUCCGUGCCAGCAGCCGCGGUAAUACGGAGGGUGCAAGCGUUAGUCGGAAUCACUGGGCGUAAAGGACGCGUAGGCGGGUUGGAAAGUCAGGUGUGAAAUCCUACAGCUUAACUGUAGAACUGCACUUGAAACUUCUAAUCUAGAGUAUGGGAGGGGGAGAUGGAAUUAGUGGUGUAGGGGUAAAAUCCGUAGAUAUCACUAGGAAUACCUAAAGCGAAGGCGAUCUCCUGGAACAUUACUGACGCUAAGGCGUGAAAGCGUGGGGAGCAAACAGGAUUAGAUACCCUUGUAGUC
Molecule: ribosomal RNA, 439 nt
Filed under: uncultured bacterium
Lineage: Bacteria
Description: partial 16S ribosomal RNA
Rfam family: Bacterial small subunit ribosomal RNA
Source: RNAcentral